AAGUGUUAAGUCUUUAAUUUUUAAUCCUUAGCUUACUUUUUAGUUAAGGCUAGAAUUAAACAAAAAUUAAAGAUUAAAUUAGUAUUGAAUGAAACUUUGUUUAUAUAUCGAUAAUGACGAUAUAUAUAUUAUGUCUUGACCAAUUACGUGCCAGCAGUCGCGAAAAUAAAAAAAAAACUAGUGUUAUUCAUCUUAAUUAGGUUUAAAGGGUACUCAAACGGUCUUCUUCGCAUAAAAAGACUAGAGUUAUAUAGAAGAAGGUAGUACCUUAAGUGUAGAGAUUAUAUUUGGUCAUACUCGAGGGACUUAGAAAAGGCGUAGGCAACCUUCUAAGCAAUAACUGACGUUGAAGGACGAAGGCAUAGGUCACGAACAGGAUUAGAUACCCAAGUAGUCUUUGCAGUCAAUGAUGAAUGCCAUAGGUUAGAUAAAAAUUUAGUCUAUAAAUGAAAGUGUAAGCAUUUCACCUCAAGAGUAAUGUGGCAACGCAGGAACUGAAAU
This 501-nucleotide ribosomal RNA is filed under the name Akanthomyces lecanii. Its description in RNAcentral is "partial small subunit ribosomal RNA". It matches the Rfam family "Bacterial small subunit ribosomal RNA", at positions 352 to 906 of the family's 1533-position model. The record is from RNAcentral. Lineage: Eukaryota; Fungi; Ascomycota; Sordariomycetes; Hypocreales; Cordycipitaceae.